This is a small nuclear RNA of Erinaceus europaeus (western European hedgehog), 164 nucleotides long. Its record names the gene U1. It matches the Rfam family "U1 spliceosomal RNA". Rfam says of the family: U1 is a small nuclear RNA (snRNA) component of the spliceosome (involved in pre-mRNA splicing). Its 5' end forms complementary base pairs with the 5' splice junction, thus defining the 5' donor site of an intron. There are significant differences in sequence and secondary structure between metazoan and yeast U1 snRNAs, the latter being much longer (568 nucleotides as compared to 164 nucleotides in human). The record is from Ensembl. NCBI's taxonomy places the organism in Eukaryota, Metazoa, Chordata, Mammalia, Eulipotyphla, Erinaceidae.
AUACUUACCUGGCAGGGGAGAUACCAUGAUCACGAAGGUGGUUUUCCCAGGGCGAGGCUUAUCCAUUGCCCUCCGGAUGUGCUGACCCCUGCGAUUUCCCCAAAUGUGGGAAACUCGACUGCAUACUUUGUGGUAGUGGGGGACUGCAUUCGCGCUCUCCCCUG